CAACUAAUUGUAACUUUAAGCUGUUUUAUUAUUGGGCAAAUCUCCAAAAUAUCACAUUUUUAAUUUUAUGUCACAAAAAUAGUCUUCAAAAACUAAAAUGAUCAGAAUAGCAUUUUAUAUUUUGAAAAAACUAAUUUUUUUUAUUUUUCAAAAUUUAAAAUCUUAUUCCAAAACCCCACUCCCCAACUCUAAACCCUAAACCCUAAACCCUAAAUCGUAAACCCUAAACCCUAAAACCUAAACCCCACCCCUUAACUCUAAACCCUAAGCCCUAAACCCCACCCCUAAACUCUAAACCCUAAACUUUAAACCCUAAAUCCUAAACUCUAAAUCCUAAACCCCACCCCA
This 348-nucleotide long non-coding RNA is filed under the name Brassica napus (rape). Its description in RNAcentral is "long non-coding RNA (BNAP_LNC017667)". The record is from RNAcentral. Lineage: Eukaryota; Viridiplantae; Streptophyta; Magnoliopsida; Brassicales; Brassicaceae.